AGUAACGCGUAAAGAACUUGCCUCACAGUUAGGGACAACAUUUGGAAACGAAUGCUAAUACCUAAUAUUAUGAUAGUAGGGCAUCCUAUAAUUAUGAAAGCUAUAAGCGCUGUGAGAGAGCUUUGCGUCCCAUUAGCUAGUUGGAGAGGUAACGGCUCACCAAGGCGAUGAUGGGUAGCCGGCCUGAGAGGGUGAUCGGCCACAAGGGGACUGAGACACGGCCCUU
This 226-nucleotide ribosomal RNA is filed under the name uncultured bacterium. RNAcentral's name for it is "partial 16S ribosomal RNA". It matches the Rfam family "Bacterial small subunit ribosomal RNA", at positions 109 to 334 of the family's 1533-position model. The record is from RNAcentral.